Molecule: transfer RNA, 63 nt
Filed under: Brumptomyia travassosi
Lineage: Eukaryota; Metazoa; Arthropoda; Insecta; Diptera; Psychodidae
Description: tRNA-Thr
Rfam family: tRNA
About the family: Transfer RNA (tRNA) molecules are approximately 80 nucleotides in length. Their secondary structure includes four short double-helical elements and three loops (D, anti-codon, and T loops). Further hydrogen bonds mediate the characteristic L-shaped molecular structure. tRNAs have two regions of fundamental functional importance: the anti-codon, which is responsible for specific mRNA codon recognition, and the 3' end, to which the tRNAs corresponding amino acid is attached (by aminoacyl-tRNA synthetases). tRNAs cope with the degeneracy of the genetic code in two manners: having more than one tRNA (with a specific anti-codon) for a particular amino acid; and 'wobble' base-pairing, i.e. permitting non-standard base-pairing at the 3rd anti-codon position.
Source: RNAcentral
GUUUUAAUAGUUUAAAAAAAACAUUGGUCUUGUAAACCAAAAAUAAAUCUUAUUUUUAAAACU